This 220-nucleotide long non-coding RNA is filed under the name Panax ginseng (ginseng). Its description in RNAcentral is "long non-coding RNA (PGIN_LNC003716)". The record is from RNAcentral. Lineage: Eukaryota; Viridiplantae; Streptophyta; Magnoliopsida; Apiales; Araliaceae.
UCAUUUAUAGCCUUAUAGGCUAGUACUAUCAAUCAUCUAGUGUAAUAUAAUACUCCAGCUCACCAGCUCUCCAGCUCUUCACUAUAAUAUAAAGCUCAUGGAUCACUCCUAUUUUAUUUAUAUUUGGAUAUACUAACUUCACAAAAUUGUUAAUAAAUUUAAGAUUUGUACCAAAGUCAUUGGUUGUUUGAGGCAUAACCCACUCCAUCCUACUCGAAUG